This 1383-nucleotide ribosomal RNA is filed under the name uncultured bacterium. RNAcentral's name for it is "bacterial SSU rRNA". It matches the Rfam family "Bacterial small subunit ribosomal RNA". The record is from RNAcentral.
GAAUUCGCCCUUAGAGUUUGAUCCUGGCUCAGGACGAACGCUGGCGGCGCGCCUAACACAUGCAAGUCGAACGAGCGAGAGAGAGCUUGCUUUCUCGAGCGAGUGGCGAACGGGUGAGUAACGCGUGAGGAACCUGCCUCAAAGAGGGGGACAACAGUUGGAAACGACUGCUAAUACCGCAUAAGCCCACGGCUCGGCAUCGAGCAGAGGGAAAAGGAGCAAUCCGCUUUGAGAUGGCCUCGCGUCCGAUUAGCUAGUUGGUGAGGUAACGGCCCACCAAGGCAACGAUCGGUAGCCGGACUGAGAGGUUGAACGGCCACAUUGGGACUGAGACACGGCCCAGACUCCUACGGGAGGCAGCAGUGGGGAAUAUUGCACAAUGGGGGAAACCCUGAUGCAGCGACGCCGCGUGGAGGAAGAAGGUCUUCGGAUUGUAAACUCCUGUUGUUGGGGAAGAUAAUGACGGUACCCAACAAGGAAGUGACGGCUAACUACGUGCCAGCAGCCGCGGUAAAACGUAGGUCACAAGCGUUGUCCGGAAUUACUGGGUGUAAAGGGAGCGCAGGCGGGAAGACAAGUUGGAAGUGAAAUCUAUGGGCUCAACCCAUAAACUGCUUUCAAAACUGUUUUUCUUGAGUAGUGCAGAGGUAGGCGGAAUUCCCGGUGUAGCGGUGGAAUGCGUAGAUAUCGGGAGGAACACCAGUGGCGAAGGCGGCCUACUGGGCACCAACUGACGCUGAGGCUCGAAAGUGUGGGUAGCAAACAGGAUUAGAUACCCUGGUAGUCCACACCGUAAACGAUGAUUACUAGGUGUUGGAGGAUUGACCCCUUCAGUGCCGCAGUUAACACAAUAAGUAAUCCACCUGGGGAGUACGACCGCAAGGUUGAAACUCAAAGGAAUUGACGGGGGCCCGCACAAGCAGUGGAGUAUGUGGUUUAAUUCGACGCAACGCGAAGAACCUUACCAAGUCUUGACAUCCCUUGACAGACAUAGAAAUAUGUAUUCUCUUCGGAGCAAGGAGACAGGUGGUGCAUGGUUGUCGUCAGCUCGUGUCGUGAGAUGUUGGGUUAAGUCCCGCAACGAGCGCAACCCUUAUUGCCAGUUACUACGUUAAGAGGACUCUGGCGAGACUGCCGUUGACAAAACGGAGGAAGGUGGGGAUGACGUCAAAUCAUCAUGCCCUUUAUGACCUGGGCUACACACGUACUACAAUGGCGUUAAACAAAGAGAAGCAAGACCGCGAGGUGGAGCAAAACUCAAAAACAACGUCUCAGUUCAGAUUGCAGGCUGCAACUCGCCUGCAUGAAGUCGGAAUUGCUAGUAAUCGCGGAUCAGCAUGCCGCGGUGAAUACGUUCCCGGGCCUUGCACUCACCGCCCGUCA